Long non-coding RNA from Brienomyrus brachyistius, 421 nucleotides. RefSeq lists it as uncharacterized. NCBI's taxonomy places the organism in Eukaryota, Metazoa, Chordata, Actinopteri, Osteoglossiformes, Mormyridae. The record is from RefSeq and is a predicted model, not a curated record. The transcript is spliced from 3 exons.
UACACAGAAUGUCCGUAGAUAGAACAGCGGGAAAAAGCACUUAAACAUGAGUAAAGCCUGGUUCUAAGGGAGCUGCUGUUGCUGUUGUUACGCGGCUGUAGGGGAAAAGCAAUAGUAAGACAUGGAGUACAGUCCUAUGCCAAAACGGAAGGUUCAUGCAUUUGGAGAAGCCAGGCACUGUUUGUCCUUGGCCAGAACCAUGAGGACAAUCAUUACAGUUUCAGCUUACGUUGUGCGGAUUUCUACAGAGCUCAGACUGGAGAAUUUUGCGGAACCUGGCAACACUGCUGAGACUGGACUGGAUUUUAUGCUUCUCCUGGACUGACUGUACUUGUGUUUCUACUGUGCCACUGCAGACAGAAGUGGGUUAAGUGUAAAGUUGUCAAAAUAAUACUUAAUUGCAGCAAUGAAGCACAAUUGC